AUAUCUCUCCGUACGGGAAGGAUGAGAAGCUUCGACCAAGGUUCGAUUCGAGCAUCAGCGAGAAAGCGUUGCCGCAGGCAACGACCCGAAGGGCGAAGCGCG
Molecule: small RNA, 102 nt
Filed under: Salmonella enterica
Lineage: Bacteria; Pseudomonadati; Pseudomonadota; Gammaproteobacteria; Enterobacterales; Enterobacteriaceae
Also listed under: 1 other name
Description: partial RtT sRNA
Rfam family: RtT RNA
About the family: This family represents a bacterial cis-regulatory element known as RtT RNA.
Source: RNAcentral